UACGUAGGGGGCAAGCGUUAUCCGGAAUUACUGGGUGUAAAGGGUGAGUAGGUUGGCUUGUAAGUCAUAUGUGAAAUACCGAUGCUUAACAUCGGGGCUGCAUAAGAAACUACAAGCCUAGAGUACAGGAGAGGUAAGCGGAAUUUCUAGUGUAGCGGUGAAAUGCGUAGAUAUUAGGAAGAACACCAGUGGCGAAGGCGGCUUACUGGACUGAAACUGACACUGAGUCACGAAAGCGUGGGGAGCAAACAGG
This 253-nucleotide ribosomal RNA is filed under the name uncultured Clostridiales Family XIV bacterium. RNAcentral's name for it is "partial 16S ribosomal RNA". It matches the Rfam family "Bacterial small subunit ribosomal RNA", at positions 524 to 776 of the family's 1533-position model. The record is from RNAcentral. Lineage: Bacteria; Bacillati; Bacillota; Clostridia; Eubacteriales; Clostridiales Family XIV. Incertae Sedis.